RNAcentral lists this ribosomal RNA (757 nucleotides) under uncultured bacterium. Its description in RNAcentral is "bacterial SSU rRNA". It matches the Rfam family "Bacterial small subunit ribosomal RNA", at positions 8 to 796 of the family's 1533-position model. The record is from RNAcentral.
AGAGUUUGAUCCUGGCUCAGAAUCAACGCUGGCGGCGCGCUUAACACAUGCAAGUCGCACGAGAAAGUGGAGCAAUCCAUGAGUACAGUGGCGUACGGGUGAGUAACACGUGGAUCAUCUACCUCUUGGUGGGGAAUAACCCUGGGAAACCGGGGCUAAUACCGCAUAAGCCUGCAAAGGGAAAGCAGCAAUGCGCCGAGAGAGGAGUCCGCGGCCGAUUAGCUUGUUGGUAGGGUAACGGCCUACCAAGGCAAUGAUCGGUAGCCGGCCUGAGAGGGCACACGGCCACACUGGCACUGAAACACGGGCCAGACUCCUACGGGAGGCAGCAGUGGGGAAUCUUGCACAAUGGGGGAAACCCUGAUGCAGCGACGCCGCGUGAGCGAUGAAGCCCUUCGGGGUGUAAAGCUCUUUCGGCAGGAACGAUAAUGACGGUACCUGCAGAAGAAGCUGCGGCUAACUACGUGCCAGCAGCCGCGGUAAUACGUAGGCAGCAAGCGUUGUUCGGAAUUACUGGGCGUAAAGAGUGUGUAGGCGGUUCUCUAAGUUCCGUGUGAAAUCUCCCGGCUUAACUGGGAGGGUGCGCGGAAAACUGGAGGGCUGGAGUAUGGGAGAGGAAAGCGGAAUUCCUGGUGUAGCGGUGAAAUGCGUAGAUAUCAGGAGGAACACCUGCGGUGUAGACAGCUUUUCUGGAUCAUCACUGACGCUGAGACACGAAAGCGUGGGUAGCAAACAGGAUUAGAUACCCCCGUAGUCC